Molecule: ribosomal RNA, 253 nt
Filed under: uncultured bacterium
Lineage: Bacteria
Description: partial 16S ribosomal RNA
Rfam family: Bacterial small subunit ribosomal RNA
Source: RNAcentral
UACGUAGGGGGCAAGCGUUGUCCGGAUUUAUUGGGCGUAAAGCGCUCGCAGGUGGUUCGUCGCGUCGAGCGUGAAAGACCCCGGCUCAACUGGGGAGUGUCGUGCGAUACGGGCGGACUAGAGGCCAGUAGGGGGAUGCGGAAUUCCGGGUGUAGUGGUGGAAUGCGUAGAGAUCCGGAGGAACACCAGCGGCGAAGGCGGCAUCCUGGACUGGUCCUGACACUCAGGAGCGAAAGCGUGGGGAGCGAUCCGG